AAACAAAAAAAAAAAAAAAAAAAACGUCUGCAUCAUCUUCUUCGCCGUCAUGUCGCGUCGCAUGCUGUCGGCAUGAGGGACUAAUGUCUGUUUUUUUCUUUUUCUUCCUUUAGUUUU
RNAcentral lists this non-coding RNA (117 nucleotides) under uncultured Chlorophyceae. The record is from RNAcentral. Lineage: Eukaryota; Viridiplantae; Chlorophyta; Chlorophyceae.